Molecule: non-coding RNA, 73 nt
Organism: Bubalus bubalis (water buffalo)
Lineage: Eukaryota; Metazoa; Chordata; Mammalia; Artiodactyla; Bovidae
Source: the annotation of a RefSeq genome assembly
UCCCUGGCGGUCCAGUGGUUAGGACUUUGUGCUUGCACUGCCAAGGUCCCAGGUUCGAUCCCUGGUUGGGGAA